Molecule: long non-coding RNA, 639 nt
Filed under: Homo sapiens (human)
Lineage: Eukaryota; Metazoa; Chordata; Mammalia; Primates; Hominidae
Description: HSALNT0060502
Source: RNAcentral
UGUCACAUGGUCAUCUCUCUGUGUCUUUUCUCCUCUUCUUAUGAGGACACCAGUCAUACUGGAAUGAGAGUAUACCUACUCAGGUAUGACCUCAUCUUAACAUACAACUGCAAUGACCCUAAUAAGGUAACUUUCUGAGAUAUGAGGAGUUAGGACUUUGACAUAUCUUCUGUUGGGGGGACACAGUUCAACCUGUAACAGGUUUCUUGGGGCCAUGGUCCAGUUGUUUGUACUCACACUUCAGACAGCCAUUGCCCAAGAAUUGUCCCCUGUGGGAAGACAUUUGGGGUAAGGUGGCACCCAUAUGCCAAGGACAGGUCUCAGGAGAAGGGGGCAGCUAUGCUCUUCAGCAGCCAACACUCACAGCAGCUGGGGAAUGGGUGUGUCAGCAAGUAAAGGGGAUAUGGGCCCAGCACCCAUUGGAUCUAGAUGGGCAAAUUGUUUAACCUCUCUAUGCCUCAGUUUCUUCAGGUGGAAAAUAGUUGUAGAGUGGCUGCCUCAGGGAUAGGUUAGGAUGGAAAUAAUUCAUAUUCUUAGAACAGUGCCUGACACAUGGUAAGCCCUUGGAAAUGUUAGCUAUUAUUAAUGACAAUUUGGGCCAUGGUGGGUGUGAGAGGCUCUGAGGAGUGAAGUGACUUG